UACGUAGGGUGCAAGCGUUGUCCGGAAUUAUUGGGCGUAAAGAGCUCGUAGGCGGUCUGUCGCGUCGGAUGUGAAAAUCCAGGGCUCAACCCUGGACCUGCAUUCGAUACGGGCAGACUAGAGUUCGGUAGGGGAGACUGGAAUUCCUGGUGUAGCGGUGAAAUGCGCAGAUAUCAGGAGGAACACCGGUGGUGAAGGCGGGUCUCUGGGCCGAAACUGACGCUGAGGAGCGAAAGCGUGGGGAGCAAACAGG
RNAcentral lists this ribosomal RNA (253 nucleotides) under uncultured bacterium. Its description in RNAcentral is "partial 16S ribosomal RNA". It matches the Rfam family "Bacterial small subunit ribosomal RNA", at positions 524 to 776 of the family's 1533-position model. The record is from RNAcentral.